GGGGAAUAUUGCGCAAUGGGGAAACCCUGACGCCGCAAUACCGGCGGAGGGAAAGAGGGUUUUGGAACGGUAAGGUACUGUAUUUGGGGAAGAAAAAAAGAGGUACCCAAGGAGAAAAUCCCGGGCAACUUCGGUGCCAGCAGCCGCGGUAAUACGUAGGGGACAAGCGUUGUCCGGAUUUACUGGGCGUAAAGGGCACGCAGGCGGUUUUUUAAGUCAGAUGUGAAAGGUACCGGCUCAACCGGUAACAUGCAUUUGAAACUGAAAGACUUGAGUAUUGGAGAGGCAAGUGGAAUUCCUAGUGUAGCGGUGAAAUGCGUAGAUAUUAGGAGGAACACCGGUGGCGAAGGCGGCUUGCUGGACAAAUACUGACGCUGAGGUGCGAAAGCGUGGGGAGCAAACA
Molecule: ribosomal RNA, 403 nt
Filed under: uncultured Acetobacterium sp.
Lineage: Bacteria; Bacillati; Bacillota; Clostridia; Eubacteriales; Eubacteriaceae
Description: bacterial SSU rRNA
Rfam family: Bacterial small subunit ribosomal RNA
Source: RNAcentral